CUCCGAAAGGGUAUCGGAGGCGCUCAAAGGUUCCCUCAGAAUGGUUGGAAACCAUUCGAAGAGUGCAAAGGCAGAAGGGAGCUUGACUGCGACACCGACGGGUGGAGCAGGUACGAAAGUAGGACUUAGUGAUCCGGUGGUAUUAAGUGGGAAUGCCAUCGCUCAACGGAUAAAAGCUACCCUGGGGAUAACAGGCUUAUCACUCCCAAGAGUUCACAUCGACGGAGUGGUUUGGCACCUCGAUGUCGGCUCAUCGCAUCCUGGGGCUGUAGUAGGUCCCAAGGGUUGGGCUGUUCGCCCAUUAAAGCGGUACGCGAGCUGGGUUCAGAACGUCGUGAGACAGUUCGGUCCCUAUCCGGCGUGGGCGUAGGAUAUCUGAGAGGAGCUGUCCUUAGUACGAGAGGACCGGGAUGGACGGACCGCUGGUGUACCUGUUGCAGUGCCAGCUGCAUGGCAGGGUAGCCAAGUCCGGAAGGGAUAAACGCUGAGGCAUCUAAGCGUGAAGCCCCCCUCAAGAUGAGAUAUCCCAUUCGAAAGAAGUAAGACCCCUUGAAGACGACGAGGUAGAUAGGGCAGAGGUGGAAGUGCAGUAAUGUAUGGAGCUGACUGUUACUAAUCGGUCGAGGGUUUGACCUG
Molecule: ribosomal RNA, 636 nt
Filed under: Blautia sp. AM46-3MH
Lineage: Bacteria; Bacillati; Bacillota; Clostridia; Lachnospirales; Lachnospiraceae
Description: partial 23S ribosomal RNA
Rfam family: Bacterial large subunit ribosomal RNA
Source: RNAcentral